RNAcentral lists this ribosomal RNA (433 nucleotides) under uncultured bacterium. RNAcentral's name for it is "partial 16S ribosomal RNA". It matches the Rfam family "Bacterial small subunit ribosomal RNA", at positions 29 to 507 of the family's 1533-position model. The record is from RNAcentral.
AACGAACGCUGGCGGCAUGCCUAACACAUGCAAGUCGAACGAGACCUUCGGGUCUAGUGGCGCACGGGUGCGUAACGCGAGGGAACCUGCCCUUAGGUUCGGAAUAACUCCCCGAAAGGGGUGCUAAUACCGGAUAAUGUCUUCGGACCAAAGAUUUAUUGCCUUUGGAUGGGCCCGCGUUGGAUUAGCUAGUUGGUAGGGUAAAAGCCUCCCAAGGCGACGAUCCAUAGCUGGUCUGAGAGGAUGAUCAGCCACACUGAGACUGAGACACGGCCCAGACUCCUACGGGAGGCAGCAGUGGGGAAUAUUGGACAAUGGGCGAAAGCCUGAUCCAGCACUGCCGCGUGAGUGAUGAAGGCCUUAGGGUUGUAAAGCUCUUUUACCCGGGAUGAUAAUGACAGUACCGGGAGAAUAAGCUCCGGCUAACUCCGUG